GGAGAGAUGGCUGAGUGGCUGAAAGCAGCACCCUGCUAAGGUGUUGAGCCUUCACGGGCUCCGAGGGUUCGAAUCCCUCUCUCUCCG
This 87-nucleotide transfer RNA is filed under the name Candidatus Moraniibacteriota bacterium. RNAcentral describes it as "tRNA-Ser". It matches the Rfam family "tRNA". From Rfam's summary of the family: Transfer RNA (tRNA) molecules are approximately 80 nucleotides in length. Their secondary structure includes four short double-helical elements and three loops (D, anti-codon, and T loops). The record is from RNAcentral. Lineage: Bacteria; Candidatus Moraniibacteriota.